CGCUGGCGGCGUGCCUAAUACAUGCAAGUAGAACGCUGAAGAGAGGAGCUUGCUCUUCUUGGAUGAGUUGCGAACGGGUGAGUAACGCGUAGGUAACCUGCCUUGUAGCGGGGGAUAACUAUUGGAAACGAUAGCUAAUACCGCAUAACAAUGGAUGACACAUGUCAUUUAUUUGAAAGGGGCAAUUGCUCCACUACAAGAUGGACCUGCGUUGUAUUAGCUAGUAGGUGAGGUAACGGCUCACCUAGGCGACGAUACAUAGCCGACCUGAGAGGGUGAUCGGCCACACUGGGACUGAGACACGGCCCAGACUCCUACGGGAGGCAGCAGUAGGGAAUCUUCGGCAAUGGGGGCAACCCUGACCGAGCAACGCCGCGUGAGUGAAGAAGGUUUUCGGAUCGUAAAGCUCUGUUGUAAGUCAAGAACGAGCGUGAGAGUGGAAAGUUCACACUGUGACGGUAGCUUACCAGAAAGGGACGGCUAACUACGUGCCAGCAGCCGCGGUAAUACGUAGGUCCCGAGCGUUGUCCGGAUUUAUUGGGCGUAAAGCGAGCGCAGGCGGUUUGAUAAGUCUGAAGUUAAAGGCUGUGGCUCAACCAUAGUUCGCUUUGGAAACUGUCAAACUGNAGUGCAGAAGGGGAGAGUGGAAUUCCAUGUGUAGCGGUGAAAUGCGUAGAUAUAUGGAGGAACACCGGUGGCGAAAGCGGCUCUCUGGUCUGUAACUGACGCUGAGGCUCGAAAGCGUGGGGAGCGAACAGGAUUAGAUACCCUGGUAGUCCACGCCGUAAACGAUGAGUGCUAGGUGUUGGAUCCUUUCCGGGAUUCAGUGCCGCAGCUAACGCAUUAAGCACUCCGCCUGGGGAGUACGACCGCAAGGUUGAAACUCAAAGGAAUUGACGGGGGCCCGCACAAGCGGUGGAGCAUGUGGUUUAAUUCGAAGCAACGCGAAGAACCUUACCAGGUCUUGACAUCCCGAUGCUAUUUCUAGAGAUAGAAAGUUACUUCGGUACAUCGGUGACAGGUGGUGCAUGGUUGUCGUCAGCUCGUGUCGUGAGAUGUUGGGUUAAGUCCCGCAACGAGCGCAACCCCUAUUGUUAGUUGCCAUCAUUCAGUUGGGCACUCUAGCGAGACUGCCGGUAAUAAACCGGAGGAAGGUGGGGAUGACGUCAAAUCAUCAUGCCCCUUAUGACCUGGGCUACACACGUGCUACAAUGGUUGGUACAACGAGUUGCGAGUCGGUGACGGCAAGCUAAUCUCUUAAAGCCAAUCUCAGUUCGGAUUGUAGGCUGCAACUCGCCUACAUGAAGUCGGAAUCGCUAGUAGUCGCGGAUCAGCACGCCGCGGUGAAUACGUUCCCGGGCCUUGUACACACCGCCCGUCACACCACGAGAGUUUGUAACACCCGAAGUCGGUGAGGUAACCUUAUGGAGCCAGCCGCCUAAGGUGGGAUAGAUGA
RNAcentral lists this ribosomal RNA (1456 nucleotides) under uncultured organism. RNAcentral describes it as "SSU rRNA". It matches the Rfam family "Bacterial small subunit ribosomal RNA". The record is from RNAcentral.